This 631-nucleotide ribosomal RNA is filed under the name uncultured fungus. RNAcentral's name for it is "SSU rRNA". It matches the Rfam family "Eukaryotic small subunit ribosomal RNA", at positions 255 to 891 of the family's 1831-position model. Lineage: Eukaryota; Fungi. The record is from RNAcentral.
UAAUACUUAACGAAUCGCAUGGCUUGUGCGUCGAUGGUUCAUUCAAAUUUCUGCCCUAUCAACUUUCGAUGGUAGAGUAGUGGUCUACCAUGGUUUCAACGGGUAACGGGGAAUUAGGGUUCUAUUCCGGAGAGGGAGCCUGAGAAACGGUACCACAUCCAAGGAAGGCAGCAGGCGCGCAAAUUACCCAAUCCCGACACGGGGAGGUAGUGACAAUAAAUAACAAUAUAGGGCUCUAUUGGGUCUUAUAAUUGGAAUGAGUACAAUUUAAACCCCUUAAACGAGGAACAAUUGGAGGGCAAGUCUGGUGCCAGCAGCCGCGGUAAUUCCAGCUCCAAUAGCGUAUAUUAACAGUUGUUGCAGUUAAAAAGCUCGUAGUUGAACUUCGAACCUGGUUGGGUGGUCUGCCUUCACGGUACGUACUGCUUGGCCGGGUUCUACCUCUUGGUGAGCCGGAUGCCCUUCACUGGGUGUGUCGGGGAACCAGGACUUUUACCUUGAGAAAAUUAGAGUGUCAAAAGCAGGGCCUUUGCCCGAAUUACAUUAGCAUGGAAUAAUAAAAUAGGACGUGCGGUUCUAUUGGUGGUUCUAGAGUCCGCCGUAAUGUUUAAUAGGGGAUGGUUGGGGGCAU